This 516-nucleotide ribosomal RNA is filed under the name uncultured Clostridium sp. Its description in RNAcentral is "bacterial SSU rRNA". It matches the Rfam family "Bacterial small subunit ribosomal RNA", at positions 8 to 524 of the family's 1533-position model. The record is from RNAcentral. Lineage: Bacteria; Bacillati; Bacillota; Clostridia; Eubacteriales; Clostridiaceae.
AGAGUUUGAUCCUGGCUCAGGAUGAACGCUGGCGGCGUGCUUAACACAUGCAAGUCGAGCGAAGCGGUUUCAAUGAAGUUUUCGGAUGGAAUUGAAAUUGACUUAGCGGCRGACGGGUGAGUAACGCGUGGGUAACCUGCCUUACACUGGGGGAUAACAGUUAGAAAUGACUGCUAAUACCGCAUAAGCGCACAGGGCCGCAUGGUCUGGUGUGAAAAACUCCGGUGGUGUAAGAUGGACCCGCGUCUGAUUAGGUAGUUGGUGGGGUAACGGCCCACCAAGCCGACGAUCAGUAGCCGACCUGAGAGGGUGACCGGCCACAUUGGGACUGAGACACGGCCCAAACUCCUACGGGAGGCAGCAGUGGGGAAUAUUGGACAAUGGGCGAAAGCCUGAUCCAGCGACGCCGCGUGAGUGAAGAAGUAUUUCGGUAUGUAAAGCUCUAUCAGCAGGGAAGAAAAUGACGGUACCUGACUAAGAAGCCCCGGCUAACUACGUGCCAGCAGCCGCGGUAAU